Molecule: ribosomal RNA, 253 nt
Filed under: uncultured bacterium
Lineage: Bacteria
Description: partial 16S ribosomal RNA
Rfam family: Bacterial small subunit ribosomal RNA
Source: RNAcentral
UACGUAGGGGGCAAGCGUUGUCCGGAAUCAUUGGGCGUAAAGAGCGUGUAGGCGGCCUGGUAAGUCCGCUGUGAAAGUCCAGGGCUCAACCCUGGAAUGCCGGUGGAAACUGUCAGGCUCGAGUCCGGAAGAGGCGAGUGGAAUUCCUGGUGUAGCGGUGAAAUGCGCAGAUAUCAGGAGGAACACCAAUGGCGGAGGCAGCUCGCUGGGACGGUACUGACGCUGAGACGCGAAAGCGUGGGGAGCAAACAGG